UGGCUCAGUUGGAAGAGCAUGUGACUUUUGAUCUCCAGGUCGUGAGUUCAAACCCCAC
Molecule: transfer RNA, 58 nt
Filed under: Felis catus (domestic cat)
Lineage: Eukaryota; Metazoa; Chordata; Mammalia; Carnivora; Felidae
Also listed under: 5 other names
Rfam family: tRNA
About the family: Transfer RNA (tRNA) molecules are approximately 80 nucleotides in length. Their secondary structure includes four short double-helical elements and three loops (D, anti-codon, and T loops).
Source: Rfam by way of RNAcentral